Molecule: RNA transcript, 2952 nt
Organism: Conger conger (European conger)
Lineage: Eukaryota; Metazoa; Chordata; Actinopteri; Anguilliformes; Congridae
Exons: 2
Source: RefSeq, a predicted model, not a curated record
AUGAGUGGUAGAGGUAAGACUGGUGGUAAAGCGAGAGCAAAGGCUAAAACUCGCUCAUCGAGGGCUGGACUGCAAUUCCCGGUUGGUCGCGUUCACCGGCUGCUGCGUAAAGGCAACUAUGCCGAACGUGUUGGUGCCGGUGCUCCAGUUUAUCUGGCCGCUGUGCUCGAAUAUCUGACCGCUGAGAUCCUGGAGUUGGCUGGUAACGCUGCCCGUGAUAACAAGAAAACCCGCAUCAUUCCCAGACAUCUGCAGCUGGCAGUACGUAACGACGAAGAGUUGAAUAAGCUCCUUGGAGGCGUCACCAUCGCUCAGGGAGGAGUACUGCCGAAUAUCCAAGCUGUACUGCUCCCCAAGAAGACCGAAAAGGCAGUGAAGGGAAAGUAAUUAAUAUCACUUCCACGACUACCAUUCACCCGAAGGCUCUUUUCAGAGCCACCCCACCUGUACAAAGAACGAAAAGCGACCAUUGACCAACUUAGCUAGUUUGUUGUUCAGACUUUCUUUUUUUUUUUUUUUUUUGCCUCGCUUUAACGUUGAAUCGGAGGUUUUGCGGUGGAACUUCCGGUCUGGUUUGUUGCUUCGUUUUACACUAUGUGUUUGCAGGACCUAAACGAUGUACACCGCAUCGUGAGUGCUUCCUCGGUCGCCCAUACGAGCAAAAGAGAAAAGGGGUUUAAAAUGUAUAUUUCGAGCUACAUCGACAACUAUGAGGGUGAGUAACGGCGUCAUUAGUUAGCUAGCGCUAGCUAAGCUAGCGUUAGCUGGCUGCCUCGCAACUAACGUUACCUUACUUUGUUUUUACUAGUCAGCUAAUGUUGCUAACUUACAUCUACAUUCACAAUUCACAAAAUGAGUAACGUUACAUUCUUGUCUAACGUAAAUAUGUCUUUUUUUCAGUAUCAAACAAAGAAAAAAGUACAGGAGAGGUCAGCGCCAGGGCGACCUGCUACAGAUCCAUGAGAAAGCAUGAGAAACCGCACGAUUUGAGAGUAUGCGCAGUUAGCUAGCUCUAGUUCUCAGUCAUGUUCUGGGGAGUCAGUGUUGCUAGAGUUUGGAUGUUAGGCAAAACACCAGUCAGUGAUUUGUAUGUUCACACUUUUGAAAUUUAGUUGCAGCAUGUUUAGCAUGGCGUCCCCAGAAAAUGUUUUGAGCAUUGCUGUUCCUUGUCAGAUGCUCCACUCACCUUAUGAACUGUCACCUUCCCCUCACUCAUCUUCUUACUGUUCCUAUCUGUUACUAUUCACAUAUAUUCAUACUAACCCUAACCCUAACCCUUUAAAUUCAUCAGUUGAGAGUUUCCAGAACCAAAAAUUAAAAAUUAAAAAAAUUAUUACUUAUUAGAAUGCAUGUCCAAUGCAGAGAUCUGUGUUGCUGAAAUGCUACUUUGGAUUUUGAGUUUUCCUUGAACCCAUGUAUGUAAGCGUUGUCUCAACUUAUUCUUCUUUCUUAAUCACAAAUCAUUCAAAAUGUUCAAAUGAAGACCGAUAAUUCUACUACCUUUUAAUGAAAUAUGAACAAUAUCUUCAUGACAUGCAUUUUCUAUGCCUUACUAUUUCAGGUUAUCUUGAAGGACUCAUGCCCUGUGGAGCUCAUACAUGCACAGUGCUCCUGUGUCGCUGGUACUGCCUUAUGCAACCACACUGUAGCUCUGUUGUAUCAGUCCGCACAUUAUUCGCAGCUGAAGACUCCAGUGGUCCCGCCUGUCCUGAGCUGCACAGAGAGUGAGCAGUGUUGGCACGAGCCAAGAACAAUGGUAGUUUGUAUGUAUAUAUGCAUGAAGGCCUACAUAAGAGCGCAUGACAUCAAUAUCUCAACAAAUGUCUUUCAAUUAAAUAGGGUGUGAAGCCAGGCAAAACGAAGCCAGUGGACAAAAUGGUUGUCUUGUCUGCGAGGCCUAAACCAACACAGACGACGAUGGCUGAUGGCGUGAGGAGCACACUCUACAAGGCUUAUCAAGGAGAACUACCAGACCUCUCUCUUCUGCAAGUGUCAGAGAUUUAUAAAGACAUGGCCUGUGCACCACUGAUUACCACUAUGGGCAUCUCCAGUGAGGUCCUGUUGGUGGACUCUGCACUUGGAAAGGUCCAGGCAGGAAGUCCACUGUCGUAUCAGCAACCGCUGAUCACAAGCAGGCAAAUAACCUUCCACCCAGAUGCCCCUCCCCCACCACCCCUUCCUCUGCAGCACUACAGACUGGACCCAUCAAACUGCAUGUUCGUGUGCAGCGAAAAGGAACAGCUGUUUAUAGCAUCGUUGGAGACCACGUGGGAUAUGGCUCACAAAAUUGAAGCUGCAACCAAGGACCAGAGUAUGGUUUCAGAAUGGCAUCAGCUGAGAAGGCCGCGCCUCACCUCCUCCCACUUCAGGGAGGUGUGCCAUGUUAGAGGACCGACUUCAGCUGAACACCUAGCUGACAGGAUCCUGCGAGGGACCCCUCAGACACUAGUGAUGAAGAGGGGUCUAGAAAUGGAAAUGGAGGCAGGUGCUGUCCGAGUACUGUCAGAGCAAUCUUGUGAACUACUCACCAUGUGGGUUCGUCAUCCACCCUGAUGCACCCUGGCUGGGGUCUUCUCCGGAUGGAUUGAUUUACGACCCCACAGAAAGCCCACCAUUUGGCCUGCUUGAAGUAAAGUGUCCCCACGCAAAAAGCUAUGUUGACUGCUCCUACCUGAAGCUCGAGGGAGGCAACCUGAAGCUGAAGCAACAACACGCCUACUUCUGGCAAGUGCAAGGACAGCUGCUUGUCACAGGACUUGAAUGGUGUGACUUUGUGGUGUUUGCUGAGGAGGACAUGUUAGUCCAACGGCUCUAUAAAGACAAUGGCAUUGCAAACACCAUCAGAGAAAGGGCAGAUCAUUUCUUUUUUUACUUUUACAUGCCAAGAUACCUGACUAAUUGAAUAAAUUCAAUUGGUUAUGAAUUAUUUUUAUUUGGUUAAUAUAAUAAACA